Molecule: unclassified non-coding RNA, 1035 nt
Filed under: Zea mays
Lineage: Eukaryota; Viridiplantae; Streptophyta; Magnoliopsida; Poales; Poaceae
Description: misc RNA Zm00001eb156900
Source: RNAcentral
GGGGAUCUCAAAGGAACUCAUACAUCCGAAUUUCGCCCUGCUGACGAGCGCCGGGGGCCGACUCGUCCUUCGCGAUCUCCGUCUGCGAUUUGGGCUCCGCCCUGUUCAUUGUAACGAGGACAUGGUGACCGCACCCAGGGCACUGCAUUUCCGUCGUAGGAGAUGUAGCGACAGGGGAGCUGCUGCCGUCGGACUUUUUCUUGGGCGCGGGCGCCGCCGCGGCCCCUCCGGCGAUCACGUCGCUCGCCUUCGCUUCGCUGGGUUCGACGUCGUCGGAUUUCCUCUUGCGUCCAGAUGCCGCCGGUGGCGCCGCAUUGGAGCCGUCGUCGUUUUCGUCCAACGUUGCGUCGUUAGAUUCGUCGUCGUCGUUUUCGUCCAACGUUGCGUCGUUAGAUUCGUCGUCGUCGGCCUCGAUCUUGUGCCCGGGCGAGGCCGCCGCCGCGGCCUUGUUGCCGCUUGGCUCGGGCUUGCGCGGGCUGCGGUACACCUUGCACAGGACACGAUAUACGAGGAAGCCCUCCUCCUCCUGCUGUUUCUCCUCACCGUCGUCGUUGAGGAGGCGGUGCUCCAUCAUGAUCCAACCCGUGCGGAACAGCGCGCCGGUUUCAUUCCUGACGACGAAGGAGAAGGUCUGGCGGAGUCCAAUCUGGUGCCAGUUCGACUUGGACGCCAUGAACACGGGCUUCGGUUUGGCUUCGCUAUGCCAGGUCCCGGACCCGGUGGAUCGCUUCUUCCGCUUCCCGCUGCUGUGCUUGUAGCGCAGCAGGCUGUAGAAGUACCACGCCCGCUCACCGUUGUGGGCCACCACCGGCGCGAACUGCUGGAGGAGGUCGGCGGGGUCGGAACCGUACACGUCGGCAUCGUGGAUGAACGCGCCGGUCUUGACGCCGUCCUCGACCCAGGUACGGAGGUAGGAGUCGACGAGCUCCGUAUGGCUAGGGUGAGAUUGGAAGAACGGACGCGGCGGCUUGAUGGCCGCCAACGGAGAGUGUGUCAUGGCGAGGGUGCGGCGGGGUUGGAGAGGGAGGGGGGAGG